CCUACGGGAGGCAGCAGUGAGGAAUAUUGGACAAUGGGCGCAAGCCUGAUCCAGCCAUGCCGCGUGCAGGAUGACGGUCCUAUGGAUUGUAAACUGCUUUUGCACAGGAAGAAACAACGCUACGUGUAGCGUCUUGACGGUACUGUGAGAAUAAGGAUCGGCUAACUCCGUGCCAGCAGCCGCGGUAAUACGGAGGAUCCAAGCGUUAUCCGGAAUCAUUGGGUUUAAAGGGUCCGUAGGCGGUUUAGUAAGUCAGUGGUGAAAGCCCAUCGCUCAACGGUGGAACGGCCAUUGAUACUGCUAGACUUGAAUUAUUAGGAAGUAACUAGAAUAUGUAGUGUAGCGGUGAAAUGCUUAGAGAUUACAUGGAAUACCAAUUGCGAAGGCAGGUUACUACUAAUGGAUUGACGCUGAUGGACGAAAGCGUGGGUAGCGAACAGGAUUAGAUACCCUGGUAGUCCACGCCGUAAACGAUGGAUACUAGCUGUUGGGAGNGNUNUCAGUGNGUAGACGAAGUAGAGUAAGUAUACCACCGUACGGGAGGUACGGUUACGUCGAAGAAGUAGUAAACGUUAAAGGUAAAGUUAGUACGGACGUAGAGACGUUAGCGACGGACGACGACGAGGGAGGAGG
Molecule: ribosomal RNA, 633 nt
Filed under: uncultured bacterium
Lineage: Bacteria
Description: bacterial SSU rRNA
Rfam family: Bacterial small subunit ribosomal RNA (bases 1-534)
Source: RNAcentral